GACGAACGCUGGCGGCGUGCCUAAUACAUGCAAGUCGAACGCUGAAGGAGGAGCUUGCUUCUCUGGAUGAGUUGCGAACGGGUGAGUAACGCGUAGGUAACCUGCCUGGUAGCGGGGGAUAACUAUUGGAAACGAUAGCUAAUACCGCAUAAUAGUAGAUGUUGCAUGACAUUUGCUUAAAAGGUGCAAUUGCAUCACUACCAGAUGGACCUGCGUUGGAUUAGCUAGUUGGUGAGGUAACGGCUCACCAAGGCAACGAUACAUAGCCGACCUGAGAGGGUGGUCGGCCACACUGGGACUGAGACACGGCCCAGACGGCUACGGGAGGCAGCAGUAGGGAAACGGCGGCAAUGGACGGAAGUCUGACCGAGCAGCGCCGAGUGAGGGAAGAAGGUUGUCGGAUCGUAAAGCUCGGUUGUAAGAGAAGAACGAGUGUGAGAGUGGAAAGUUCACACUGUGACGGUAACUGACCAGAAAGGGACGGCUAACUACGUG
RNAcentral lists this ribosomal RNA (495 nucleotides) under uncultured bacterium. RNAcentral's name for it is "partial 16S ribosomal RNA". It matches the Rfam family "Bacterial small subunit ribosomal RNA", at positions 28 to 507 of the family's 1533-position model. The record is from RNAcentral.